This 79-nucleotide transfer RNA is filed under the name Hypoxylon sp. FL1857. RNAcentral describes it as "tRNA-Thr". It matches the Rfam family "tRNA". From Rfam's summary of the family: Transfer RNA (tRNA) molecules are approximately 80 nucleotides in length. Their secondary structure includes four short double-helical elements and three loops (D, anti-codon, and T loops). Lineage: Eukaryota; Fungi; Ascomycota; Sordariomycetes; Xylariales; Hypoxylaceae. The record is from RNAcentral.
GCCCGCUUGGCUCAGUGGUAAAGCGCAUCACUAGUAAUAGAUAAUGAUGAGAUCACUGGUUCGAUUCCAGUAGUGGGCA